Molecule: long non-coding RNA, 11399 nt
Organism: Anolis carolinensis (green anole)
Lineage: Eukaryota; Metazoa; Chordata; Lepidosauria; Squamata; Anolidae
Exons: 2
Source: RefSeq, a predicted model, not a curated record
CGCAGGAACACCUCAGCAAGUGAGAGUCCAAAAGUGGCAGGCUAAAACCCGGAACCUCAAUCAGUGGCUGAUUCCAGAUGAGAGGCUCCCUCCUGGGCACACACAGCCACUGUUUGUUCCUUUUGUUUAGAAUCCACCAUUGAAAAGGGAUACAUGAAUACAAACUGUUGAAAGGGAUGGAAAGUGUUUUUUAUGAGAAUGUAAAAUUGUGAGCAUUUGGAUUAGAUUUAUAACAGUGGUUUGGUGAGGCAUCAGCAUUCUUUGGCCAAGAAGGCUCAAGAGCUUGUAAAACGACAACUCCCACCCAGCUGCCUGCAUUUUUGGACUCUGGGAGCCUCUAGAAAACAUGUACUAAAGCCAAGGCCCGUGGGCUGAAUCCGACCCACCAUGAUCUUUGACGUGGCCCUCCACAGGCUGGACUAUAACUCCUGUAUUCCUCAUCAUUAGACAUAAUGACUAGAGCUGAUGUGAGUUGUGAUACAGUAACAUCCGGGAGGCUGCAAGUUGUUCUGUUUAGUCAGGAUAGUGAGGUUGGACUUUAGAUACAAGGCUUGUAGAUAUGAUGUCUGACUUUAAACUGUUAUUUAACCUAUCCCCAACCUCAGAACCACACGUGCUGUUGGGUUGCAAUUUUUAUUAUCCCCAGUCCACAUGGCAGAUAAUCAAAAGUGAUGGGAGUUGCCGUUAAACAUCACCUGGGCACCGAAAUUGGGUGAAAACUAAAGAACACCUAUCACUGUCUAAAAAAUUAUAGUUGGCUCUCUGUAUCCACAGAUUCUGAGUCUAUUGAUUCAAUGUCCCUUUGAAGGCAACUAUAAGACUGAUGUGGCCCUUGAUAAAAUAAGUUUGACCCCCCUGCUGUAGAAUUACUGCCUUCUGACACCACUUUUACUACCAUGGCUCAAUACCAUGACACAAGAGUUGUCAUUUACUGCAACAUCUGCAUGCUUUGGCAGCAAAGGUAAAUGCCUUGUCAAAUUAUAAUUCCAAUUUUUUUAUCGUGUCAAAAGCAACUUGAGAACAUACUGCAAGUGGCUUCUGAUGUGAGAGACUUGGCCGUCUACAGAGUCGUUGGCCAGGGAUGCCUGGAUGUGUUAGCUGGGAGACUUCUCUCAUGUCCUUGCAAUCUAGAGCUGACAGAUGUGAGCUCACCCCAUCUCGCGGAUUCAAACCGGCAACCUUCAGGUCAGCAGUUCAGCCGGCACAAGGGUUUAACCCAUUGUGCCACCACGGCUCCUAUAAUUCCCAUGAUUCCAUAGCAUUGAACCAUGGCAGCUAAAGUGGUGUCUAGUGCAUGAGUUACGGCCGGUCCAACAAUGAGGCGAAUUAAGCGGUCGCUUCGGGCGCCAAACAUAUGGGGGUGCAGUCGAGACUGUUUUUUCUGUUGAUUUGUUGUAAAACAUGAUGUUUUGAUGCUUAAUUUGUAAAAUCUUAAUGUAAUUUGAUGUUUAAUAGGCUUUUCCUUAAUCCCUCCUUAUUAUCCAACAUUUUUGCUUAUCCAAUGCUUUUAUUUUUCAGUGAUUGUUUUGUGGGGGGGGUGUCAAAAUUCUGUUCGCCUACACUUGAAAUGUACCUAGGGCCGGCUCUGAGUUACACAGAACUCUUCUUUCAGGUUCAGAGACAGGAAGAGAAAAGCUUUUUUUCCCCAGGCUGCAACCUGAUUGAAGCAAUAUCUUCUAGCUCUGGGGCUAGUUGGAGGUCUUAUGUUGUCCCUCCACCUUGAGAUUCCGUUGAGAAGCUUGAGUGUGGCUGGCUUCUUAUCCCUGCAGAAGAGGACCCGGAGAGAGGCAGGUGGCGGUGGAGGGAGCUGGCAGGCAGAGUGGACGGUCUGCUUGGUGACUCAUCUGUUUGCGGAGGCCUGCCCUAAACACCAAGCCAAUGCCAUACUUUUACACAAUGUAAGCCAAAACUGAUUAAGGGAUAAUAAUAGCUUUUCAAGACAUCUGACAAGCAGAGGUAAUGUGGAUCGGGCCAGGCCUCUCUUUUAGCAACAUCCAAGAAUGUGUUUUCAAUGCCAGGUCGGGAAUUUGUCUGAAACAUAUACAACAAAGAAAAAAGUGCUGCUAAGAAUAUACAGUGUGCCCAGAUCCUAUAUCCUUUGUUUGAAUGGACACAUAGUAAAGGCAAUUGCCUUCUUGCAAAUAUUUUCUAUAGUACAUUCCUUUUCAGUCAAGGCCUUUAUCAACCAUUGUCUUGCCUCAUUUUCUGAAUUGGACUCAUAAAACUCCCUUGGUUUUCCACCACUCCUGCGUUUUUUCCUCUGAAAGGAAAUCCAUUAAGGAAAGAAAGGUGGUUCAGCUGCAUAGUUGGUAGUGAAGAACUCGUCGUUUCUAAAAUGCUCCUGCUUUUUUCAGGAAUAGGACUCAUGUGACACUCAAGAUGUCUAUUCACCCUUAGCUUUGCUGGCUGGGGCUGAUGAGAGAUGUAGUCAGACAGUCCCUGCAGCACCUCUUGGUUCCCACUAAGCAAGUUCUGUGUGCCAAGUGUGGUCCAGAUCCGUUAUCGGUGCAGUUCAGAAGUUUCUCUGGAUGCAGCGUGAACUACAACUCCCAUGCUGAUGCUUAUUCCGUGAUAUGAACUGGGAAGCCCUGGCCCUUGAGCGCUCUAAUUGGAGGUCAGAAGAGGCACGAAUGGCGGGCUUAAGGGAGAAACAUGCCAAGAGGAAGGCGUGUCAAGCCAACCCUGACCGGGACCGCCUUCCACCUGGAAACCGAUGUCUCACUGUGGGAGAAAAUGCGGAUCAAGAAUAGGUCUCUUCAGCCACCUACGUAACGGACACCCCCCCCCCCCAAGACGCCAGAAAUGGAGGACUAUCAUCCUCGGCCUACGAGGGAUCACCUAAGCUAAAGCUAAGAUAUGAAUGGUUGUAAUUCACAAUUUGCCAGAACAUUCCAGAUUGCCUUUCCCAGUUAGAUGUGCUCUAGGCAACUCCAUUUAAAUCCAAGAUAGAAAACCUGGUUUUAGGCUAAACUAAAGACAAAAGCUAAAUGAAAUAGCCACCGGGAAGUUCAAAGGGGCCCUGGAAUGCACCUUGUGUGCAUAUUUCCAUCUCAUUUGGAAAGCAAGAGCACUGAAACAUAUGCAGCUUUGUAUGCUGAUUCUUUGUUCUCAGUUCUUCUUUGCUAUAUGCUGCGAUAUUUUUCCAGAAAGGGGAAAAAACAUAUACGGGCUGCAUCUUGAGUCAUACAGGUUUUUAAAAAACACCUGUGAAUGCUAUUGUACUGCCUUGGAAACAGCCAAUAGAUGGGAAAAAGAUUAGAUAGCUGUUUGUUGGGAGUGUUUUGAUUGUAUCCCUGCAUGGCAAGGAGUUAAUCUCUUCCAAUUCUGUGUUUCUAAAUAAUGGAGUUAACGGGUUAUAUAUUUAGGUAAUGAGAACAUAAAUGAAGUCAAAUUUCAAAAGUAAUGCAAGCAAGCAGUAAUAAAGCCACAUGCCAAAAGUAGUGCAAUGAGUGACGACAAAGUCACUGUUCAAAUGAGUAAUACGUUUCAGUUUGUUUAAUUGUUGUUUGAAAAAAAAAACUUUGAUAAGGAUUUCCCAAGUGUUAUGCCAUUAGCUUUUCAAUCAGAAAGUUCCGAGCAACAAAAUAAUAAAAUAAUUAACAGUAGCAAAAAAAAAAUAUGAAGAAGCACAAAGAGUGAAGCAAGUUACUUAAUGUUGUAUUAAGAAGGAAUUCCUUUUCAGACAGUAUAAGGAAUAAGGAGAGUGGGGUUUUUUUUAAGAAGUCGCCCUCUGCACUCUUAUGCUGAGGUGUGUCCCAACUCCACCGAGACCAUUGUCUCUCCAGUUCUAAAAGCAGGAGGUGAGUCAGUGUGGUGUGGUUGUUUGAGUGUCAGACUAUGACUCUGGAGAACAAGGUCUGUUUACCCCUUUAGCCACUGGAUGGCUUUGAAUGAAUCACAUCUUUAAAGCCUUAGAAAACCCCAUGAUAGGGUUACUUUAGGGUCACUAUAAGUAGGAAAUGACGUGAAGGCAUACAACAACAGCAGCAGCAGAGAAGAGAAACAAGGAAAACAAGAUUCUAAGUGAGGUUACUAUGCUCUUAAUGCUGCCAUUUAUCUACCGCUAGUUACAGCAGUGGUAGAUAAAUAAGGUGCUUAUACAUUUAUGUAUUUUUUUUCUUGUUUUUCUAUUUCUACAGAGUAAAGUCUGUCCCUACUUAACCUUCAACAUCAGUAAUUCCAUCCCUAGAAGUCAGCAUGCAGGCUGAAGAAAUUUAAAGUUCUCCAGUCCUGCAAGCUGAGAGGUAUUUGUGCCUGCCUCCAUUAUACAUGUACAUGUGUGCGUGCACGCACACACACGCAGCACUUACAAUUCAGCAUUAUUUAUGAUCCUGGAGUGGUGGAAUUUCUGAAAGCAGAACACAAUGACUUUAAAAUUAAAAUAUAAAAAGGGCGGACAAAAUUGUGCUCCUUGAAUUUGUAGAAGGCUUUAGGCCAUGCUCAAAUGAGACAUGUCGCUUGGGUCUUUUUAUUUGCUCUGGUUCUGACAGUACAAGUUUUCACAUGAGAAAUGCCUUUGGCUUAAAGAUGCUUGUUAAUGCUGGUGCUUAUAGCUGUUUGUUUUGGGGCAUCUAAGCUUAAAAAUAUAUAAAGGGAGAAAAAUCAUAAUGAAAUCAAAUGUGGAUUUUUGAACUUUGUGUGUUGCAUUCUGUACGCCAAAUGCUUGAGCUGAAAAUACAAGAAAUAAAGACUUACAAAAGAAUCCAGUCUGUAUUCUAGCAUUUGCUACCAAAUUCUUGCAAGGGAGAAGUCUAUUGCUUGAACACAGCCUAAGCUUGUUAAAAUGCCGCUACGUUAUCUUUUCCUCUGGCAGCAUGUUCUUGUUUAUUGGUUAUUUGUAAUUUUAGAGGAUUUUAUAUAGUUCUUUGGGUGCUAUCUUUUAGCAGGAAUAAAUGGCUCUAUAAAUGACUAAAAUAUCCAGGGGAGUAAUAUGUUUCUGUAUGAGAUAGCUGAGAAUACCUUCGUAUUUGCUACUUUAUAGUGAGUCUAUAUGAAGUCUAUUACACUGGUUUAAGAGACUUGACAUUAAACACACUUGGAUAAGGUCUCUUAGAUGUUAUUUUGUGAGUUGCAACAUUCAUUUUCCUUCAGCAAGAAAAUAAAUUAACAGGCUAGCACAGGUAUGGCACAACAAUGUCAUGUUCUCUUCUAAUGUAAUGCAUUCGUUUUGUGGGAGAGAUACUAUUAAGGAACAUGGAAAAUGGAAAGCGCUUUUUCACAGAUAUUUGUAAGUCAAGAAAAGGGUUUUGAUAAAAUUCAAAAUUAUCAAGGUAUAGUACAAAAUGUGGAAUGCAAUAGAGAUCAAUGGCAUUAAAGGACUCUGAUGGGAAAAUGAGUUAAAUCUACUUCUAGAUUACUACUUGAGAAGUAUGGCAUGCUGAAGAUGUUUGAGGUAUCUGCUAGGAACCAGCAGUAUUAUCUGCAGAAUACUAAAGUGGACAUUUUAAAGCCAAACCUUGUAAGGUCAUUUAGGUACACUUUGCCCACAUUUGAUGCAGAAGGACAGAUAUCAGUAAUCAGUACUAAAGAAAUUAUUUUUUUAAGUGAGGUUUCUUGGAUCCAUUAUGUAAUUUGGAGCACUGCAUUGUAGAUAUCAAGUGCUCUUUUCCCAAUGGCCUGUACUGGUUAGGGAAUUCCCUGUGAGCUAGCAAUGAGUCAGAGCAGUAGCAUAAAUCUUAUCUGUACAUCUAUACACAUAAUAAAAGUGAAAAUCUGUAUGUGUGUAUGUAGCACAGGUGUCCUCUCACACAGACAGCCUCCGGCCUUCACAAACAGGCUAUAGUUCCCAGUGCUGUGGAGCCACCAAGUCACUCCCUCCAAGGACAUUAAAGGCUACAGUGAGCACACCCCAGUGUUACUUUCUCCCUCUAUUUGCAUGACUCUGCCCACUGCCUCUCCCUUAACCCUUUCCUACCCUUUCCUAUGGAACAGAGGAAACAGAGGAAUUGAUCAGCAACUGAACAGACUGGAGAGGUUUGGGGAGAAUUCACCAUGAUUUAUAGGAGUUGUAGGGCCUGGGGAUGUAUAAUUCACCUGCAGUCUAAGAGGACUCCGAACUCCACCAAUGAUGGACCUGGAACUCACUUAGUGUGAUGACUCAUAGGCCAUGUAGUCCCGUUCCUAGCGCUGUUGUGACAGAUGAAGAGGAAAACUUAGGUUUCCCACCGUUUCAGCCAGAAUUGGAGCUUUCACAGCCAGAGAUGGAGCCCCUGCACCUGCAGGAGAUUUGCCUCCCAGAAGUUUCCCAAACAAGCACUGAGCCGAAAUCUCCCCCUUUUUCUCGCCGUGAUUAUUGUCAACAACAGAGAGGAGCUCAACAGGCUAAUCGCAGAAGCCUGAGAAUCGCGGCCAAACAAAUGGUUGAUUAAAACUGCUUCCCAUGGGAAUCUUUAGGGAGUCAUGCAUCUGGACUCAGAGAAUGGCUUUCGGUUCUGGUUCCCCAGAGAAUUGUUCUCUGGCGGGAAAACGAGACCCUACUUAGGUGUUUUGCCCUCGUAGGAAUCUUGCGGAGUCAAUUCGUCAACUACGGGAGUAGGUUGUGUGUGGACUACGCUCCCGUUUCCAGCCUUGCUUUGCUUCCCAGGACCUUGUUUUGCUUCACGAACCCAGCCUUGCCUUCCGGACCUCGCCACGAAUUUACCACGGAUCCUGUUUUUGCUCCUUGUUCUUUGUUGCCUUGAAUUAAGCCUUGUAUCCAAGAAUCAAGUUAUUUCCUUGCCUUGCCUAAGUUUCAUGGACUAAAGGACCUUGUCUUCUCCCCUCACUUUGCUUGGCAAAGUGAGUGUUUCGGUUACUGGAUUACAACUUUGGACCUUAAUAUUUCAUAUUGGACAUUGUUUCUCUGGACUAAUUUUGACCUUCCCUGAAAGGUCUACUUCUGAACUAUUUCCUACACUUGCUUUUAUUAACUUUAUAUAUUUCCUCAAUAAAGAUAUUAGAUAGAUUCUGGCCUCUGUGUAUGGUUAUUGGUGCUCUGCAGCCUGGGUCGUGACACUUAGCACACAGAGCCAACAUGGCCAACUUUGCAUACUGCCGAGGUUUGAGGGUGAUUGACCUUAACAUCCAGGAGUUAUCGUUCACCCAUAUUCAGAGAACACUAAACCCAUCUGAUGACAGAUCUGGACCAAACUUGGCACACAAUUUCAACAUGGCCAACUGGGAAUACUGGUGGAUUUUGGGGGUGAUUGAUCUUUAAAUCUGGGAGUUAUAGUUCACCUGUGUUCUGUGAGUCCUCUGAACCCCACCAAUGACGGAUCUGGACCAAGCAGGGCACACAGACACAACGCUCCCAACUUUGCAUACCGGUGGACUUUGGGGUGAUUGACCUAGGCAUCAGAGAGUUAUAGUUCACCCUUAUAGAGAACAUUGAACCCAGCAGAUGACGGAUCUGGACCAGAUUUGACACACAGACCCAACAUGGCGAACUGUGAAUACUAGCAGAGUUUGGGGAGGGUUGACCCAAUAUUUUUGGGAACUGUAGUUCACCCACAUCCUUAUGCAUUUUCUAAUGGGCGCAUUCAUAAAAAACAACAGGAAAGACUGAGUUCUUUUGUAAGAACUAGCGUAACGUAUGACCAAACUGAUAUUACCUAACAUCCAAAAACAAACAAGACCCUUUUCAAAUAUCCCAGGCACCACCGGGUACCCAUGCUAGUCUAUACUCAUAAUAAAAGUUAAAAAUGUGUAUGUGUGUAUGUGGAGGAGGUGUCCACUUACACAGACAGCCUCCCACCUCCACAAACAACUAUAGUUCCCACUAAGCAGGAGACACCAAUGGCCCUUCCUCCACUGACAUGCAGGUUAUAGUGAGCACCAUGAACAUGUAUCCCAAGCCCCACCAGUGUCGUCCACAAACACCAUUCUGCCCCCACCCAAGUGAAGGCAAUUUCCCCCAAGAUGUUCUGAUUUUCCUCCAGAAUGGACAUCCCAGUGUUCCUUAAUUUGCAUGACCCCACCCACUGUCUCUACCUUAACCUUUUCCUACCCUUUCCUAUGGCACACAGUUAACAGAGGAAUUGAUCAGCUACUGAAAAAGAGGUUUGGGGAGAACUCACCAUGCUUUACAAGAGUUGUACUUGACCUACAUCCAGAGAACACUGUUAACCCAACCAAACUGGAUCAAACUUGCCACAGAUAAUGGGACUUGCAGUAUCUUCACUGAUACAGUGACCCUCACCAACAAUGGACCGGGACCAACCUUAGCACAGAGAAGCCCCAUGACCAACUCAACAUACUGCGGGGGUUAGUGAGAAUGGAUCUUGAUUUUGGGAGUCCAGAAAGCACUGAAUCCAGCUAAUGUCAGAUCUGGACCAAACAUGGCACAUUGACCCAUACAGGCCUGCUUUGGGGGUGAUUGACCUCGGAUCUGGGAGUUGUAGUUCACCCUGAUCCAGAGAGCCCAAUGAUGGAUCUGGACCAAAUUUCAGUGAUACAGUAGACUCUCACUUAUCCAAGCUAAACGGGCCGGCAGAAGCUUGGAUAAGCAAAUAUCUUGGAUAAUGAGGGAUUAAGGAAAAGCCUAUUAAACAUCAAAUUAGGUUAUGCUUUUACAAAUUAAUCACCAAAACAUCAUGUUAUACAACAAAUUUGGCAGAAAAAGUAGUUCAAUACGCAGUAAUGUUAUGUUGUAAUUACCGUAUUUACUAAUUUAGCACCAAAAUAUCACGAUAUAUUGAAAACAUUGACUACAAAAAUGGCUUGGAUAAUCCAGAGGCUUGGAUAAACGAGGCUUGGAUAAGUGAGACUCUACUGUAUUACCUAACAUCUGAAAACAAAUAAUGAUUUAUUCUAAUAACCCGGGCACCGCCGGGUCUCCAAGCUAGUUAUAAAUAAAUAAACCCUCCUCAAGUGCCAUAGGUACUGUAGUUAAGCAUUCAGAAAGCAUAACUGGGAAUGUCAGCAAACUGCUGCAGGUAGUGAGUCCAUUUUACUGAUGACAUGGCUGCCAAACCACCACCACUACCUGCCUCUCAGAUAUCUUAUUGCCUGAAUAGCAAGGAGCUUUUCUUUGAGCAAUUCCCCCAAGCAACUGGCCCAAAAGCUCUGUCUGUCUGAGCCAUGCUUCCUUUACUCUGAGACAUCACAGUGGUUUGAUCUCUUAGUCCUGUAAUCACAUGGAAUAGGAAACAGCUAAAACUGCCAUUACAAUACUUAAUGGUUAGAUGGUGAAAUAGAUGCACCUUUGCCAAGGAGGUGGAAUUAUUUUGGCUGAAUGCCUCUCCAGGACUAACCUAUCAGGUUUGAUAAAAAUGGCCUUAACUCUAUAUUUCUUCCAUACACCUGAUUUUGCCCUCUCUUUGAUACAAAGACACAUGGGAUUCCGUGGUUUUAUCUGCCCCCAAAAGUAUGAAGCUUUCUGCACCUAGAGUAAAAAAUAUCUGUACAGUGAUGAUACCUAUCCAGUAAAAUAUUGAUGGUGAAAGCAUUAGUCUCUUUCCCACAUAUUGGAUUGUGUGGUAGGGGACUAAUGUGGUCACCAACAUUUCUUUUUGAUCUAGUUUUAUAGAACAGGAAAAACGGUCUAUAAAAAGAAAAAUACUAUAUAUGAAAUGUUCAGAAUAUUGAUGAAGUUACUUGAUGCAAAGUCAGUGUCAUCAUAAAUGAUGGAGAACAGUAUGUGAUGGGGAAAUGUAAUUUUGUGCCAUUAAGCUCUGCUGAAUCAUCUUGGAUGUGGUGAGCCACAGCAGCAGGAGCCAAGAAAGGCUGCUCAAAGGAAAACCUUGAUCACUGCCAUAUUUACCAUGAACAACUGCCACAACUGAGCUUUUGGAGAUUUAAGGAAUUCUUCAACUAGUUGUACCAUGCAAUGCAGUGUUGUUGCAACUAAGAAAGUGCUCAAGAAAGUAAAAACAUCAUUUUCAUUGCUAGAAGUGCAGAAACAGUCAGUCCAAAGAAGGAGUGUAUUCAGAAGAAAAGUUGUUUUGUUUUUUUAGCAGCUCUAUCCUUGGAAAUGCGAAAUGGCAUUUUUAAUGUUAUGGUCACAAAAUGAAGACUAUAGCAAUGCAGCAAAAAAGCGAACACAAACCGCAUGGACUCCAGCUCUUCCUUUCUGAUGUCAAGUCAUGUAUGUUUUUUCUCAAUUAGUAUUACAUGGAAAAUUAAUUUGUGUAAGUGCUUUUAAAAAGUGUUACCCACUAUAUACUAUGGAGGAAGCUAAAGAGAACCAUGCAGAUAUUGUCUAUAACAAUUGCCCUCCCUCCCUCCCCCUCCCUCUCCAUCCCUUUUUUGUCCAAUCCCUUCUCUAAAGAGUUUUGUUUUACCUCUCAACAUACCUUUGGUUUUUUUUUUAGCCUUUUAGUUUUUAUGUACAUGCUUUUAUGAGACUGUACCCCACUUAUGCUGGUCUAAGACUAUAAUAAAGAUUUUGAUUUGAUUUGAUUUGUCUAUAUCAGUGGUUCUCAACCUGUGGGUCCCCAGAUGUUUGGCCUUCAACUCCCAGAAAUCCUAACUGCUGGUAAACUGGCUGGGAUUUCUGGGAGUUGUAGGCCAAAACGCAUGGGGACCCACAGGCUAAGAAACACUGGUCUAUAAUAUCUCUGAAUAAAAGGUAUCUCAAUAGGCAAUGGGAAAGACAGCCACCUAUGGCCCAGUAGUCAGGAAAGCUAAAUGGAGCAAUGAUUCAACAGAAAGCAGCUGUAUUCCCUCAAACAGGGAACUUUUAGCAGUACAUGAAAGGUUUUGUGCAAGUCAUUUUCCAUCAAAACAGAUCACAGGGGCAAUUCUCUUGUCAAGUUGUCUGUAUAUUAGACAAGCGACUCAUUAACAUUUAAUUUCUCAUUUUUAUUAAUGAUACAUACCAAGUAACCAGAAGGUAUUAAAAUAACAUGAUAUUUAAAACAGGAAAAGGAAAUUUUAUUUAAAAAAUUAAAUUCAUCAGGACAUUUGCCAUUUAUUUAUAUUAAAUAGUUUACCACUUAAGAGGGAUGCAAAGCAGGAAACAAAAGGCAUCACUGUCAAAUUUCAAAUGUAAUUUUCAGCCUUAAAAUCAUAAAAUGUAUUACAGAACAAAAUUUAAAAACACUAGAAAAUAUCACAUAACAAUUUAAACACAGCAGUUAAAAGCUUUGCCAAGAUGAAACAUUUGACCAUUGAUAGAACACUGGUAAAGGUGGUUAUAGCCUAAAUGCUGGAGGCAAGGAGUUCCACGAAUGGCAUGUAGUCACGAAACUUUCUUUAAUGUUUAAUUUUUUCAAACAUCCGGUUUGGACUCAGAAUGCGCCUUGGAUGUAUAUCUACUUGUAUAUUUAUGAAUGUUUUAAUGUAAUGUAAUUUAAAUGAUUUGAAAUGUGAUUGCAACUGUUUUAUAUAUGUGUUUUAUAUUUGUAAGUCGCCCUGAGUCCCCUAAUGGGUGAGAAGGGCAGGGUAGAAAUGUUGUAAUAAAUAAAUAAAUAAAUAAAUAA